RNAcentral lists this small nuclear RNA (162 nucleotides) under Chinchilla lanigera (long-tailed chinchilla). RNAcentral's name for it is "U4 spliceosomal RNA (ENSCLAG00000020733.1)". The stretch from base 1 to 64 matches the Rfam family "U4 spliceosomal RNA". Lineage: Eukaryota; Metazoa; Chordata; Mammalia; Rodentia; Chinchillidae. The record is from RNAcentral.
AGCUUUGCGCAGUGGCAGUAUCGUAGCCAAUGAGGUUUAUCCGAGGCGCGAUUAUUGCUAAUAAGAGGACAUCCUGAUACAAGUCAUAACAUAGCCUGAACCAGAGAGCCACUCUGGUGUGACCUUGACUUAGAUGAGCUAAUUGAUGGCCAACUUGUAUGU